UGGGGAAUAUUGGACAAUGGGCGCAAGCCUGAUCCAGCCAUGCCGCGUGAGUGAUGAAGGCCCUAGGGUUGUAAAGCUCUUUCACCGGUGAAGAUAAUGACGGUAACCGGAGAAGAAGCCCCGGCUAACUUCGUGCCAGCAGCCGCGGUAAUACGAAGGGGGCUAGCGUUGUUCGGAAUUACUGGGCGUAAAGCGCACGUAGGCGGACUAUUAAGUCAGGGGUGAAAUCCCGGGGCUCAACCCCGGAACUGCCUUUGAUACUGGUAGUCUUGAGUUCGGGAGAGGUGAGUGGAAUUCCGAGUGUAGAGGUGAAAUUCGUAGAUAUUAGGAGGAACACCAGUGGCGAAGGCGGCUCACUGGCUCGAUACUGACGCUGAGGUGCGAAAGCGUGGGGAGCAAACAGG
This 404-nucleotide ribosomal RNA is filed under the name Actinomycetes bacterium. RNAcentral describes it as "Actinobacteria bacterium partial 16S ribosomal RNA". It matches the Rfam family "Bacterial small subunit ribosomal RNA", at positions 355 to 776 of the family's 1533-position model. The record is from RNAcentral. Lineage: Bacteria; Bacillati; Actinomycetota; Actinomycetes.